UCUGACUUGGUCCGUGUCCAGGGCUCAUCCCUGACAGCACACGGCAGCACUGCCUUUCUAUUGCCAGGUCACUCCUGGCACCGCUCGCCGGCCGGUGGGCACGAGUCUUCCCGUGGGGGAUCAUGCUAUGAACAUUCACAUACAGAGUUUUGUGUGGACGUCUUUCCAGCUCUGGGCAGAUGCCGAGGAGUGAAGUGACUGGUUCCCAUGGUAACCUUUUAAUCCUUUGCCAGACUGCUAAAACAGGCCGCCCCAUCUUACAAUCCUACCAGCAGAGGAGAGAACUCGUUUUCCACAACUGCAGCGUGGACCCGUCUCAUGACAGCCUCCGCGGUGGGGGUGAGGGGUUCAGAUCUGCAUUUGCCUGGUGACGAAUGCUGCGCAUCUUGCCAUGCGCUCACCGGCCAGUGUGUGCCGUGGGAGCAGCGUCUGUUCACAGCCUCCGCCCAUGUCACUCAGGCUGUCUCAGUGUUCAACUUCCUCUGUCUCAGUGUUCACGUGUCACCUCCCGCCCUGCCAGCGCCCCCGUUCACCAGCAAGUAUGCGGUAGGAAGGCUUCCAGAGAAGCCACGGGCCAGGAAGUGAUGAAGAAAGGGUCCCAGGUCAAGAUCAACCCAAGGCCCACACUCCAAGGACGGGCCCCACGACCUGCCAUCAGCCUGGGAAAGCUGUCCCUUCUCCACGCUUCCAGCACAAGGCCUGGGGGCGGGGGGGUGUCCCAGCGGCCUGGUGUCCGUUAGCGCCAUCCUUGAACCCGUCGCCGGGGUCAGGCUCACUGGGCCUGGAUCCCAUGCCCAGCCGUUCUCACCUCAGUGAGGUGGCCUGGGCAGUGCCCGCGUUUCCGUUUCCGUUUCCAGGUAGAGCAAGGAUGUCAAACUCAAAGGCUAACACGGGCCAAAUAAACGCGUUUGACAUGCUGAGAUGGAGGGCUUUGUGUUGGAAGGGGUCACGUCUUAGGUGUUUGAGAGACAUCCAUUGUCAGUGUGGGAGGAGCGGGGAGAGGGUGCUGCCUUUCGUCCUGGCCCUGGGGCCUCUGCCCUUUCCCACUGCGCGCUCUCUCUCUAUAUAUAUAUGUUAGAAGCCCAGCACGUGAAAUCGCGUGGCCCCGCCCACCCAUGCCGGUCUUCGGUCGUUACAAAGAUUUCAGAGAGGAAGGGCGAGUGAGAGACAGAAACAUCAAUGAUGAGAGAGAACCACUGAUCGGCUGCCCCCUGCACCCCCACACUGGGGAUCGAGCCCGGAACCCGGGCAUGUGCCCUGACUGGGAAUUGAACUGUGACCUCCUGGUUCAUGGGUCCACCCUCAACCACUGAGCCUCACCGGCUGGGCCCUCUCUGACCAGCGGGAAUGUUGGGAGCCGCCCUCGAGCCCCCUUCCUGACAUGUGGGCAGCAGCGGGCCGGAGCCACCUCUGGGGUAAGUCAGCUGUUGAGUACCUCCGUUUCCUUCCCUGCAGCUGGGGAUGGAGUGGCACAGAGCUCUCACAGCCGGUCACGGCCAGAAUAACCACCAGGCUGCGUGCAAAGCGAGAACGUACCAGGAGGAACGGCCUGACCGCGAAAACCUGCCCAGCCAGUAACGCAGCCAGGAACGCCGACGCAAGGACAGGGUGGCCGUGCACAAGAUCAACACAAGGAUGUCCGCGGAGAGACGGACUGUGAUUGUGAGUGGACGUUACCUGAACACCCCAUCACAUCUCAUCGCAUCCAUUCGAUGCCCGGUAUGUAGUCGUUACAAAACAAUGUUGUAAACUGUUUUAUGGCAUGUUAAUUACGUAACAGAAAAUGCAUCUGAUGUGCUGAUCAGUGUUAAGACACGUGCCUCCCUCGCUGUGCCGAGAGCAGGCACACCGAGUCGAAAAUGAUGACGUCCUCUGCGUUCAAGGUUUGCGGUUGCUUAAAUGUUUUCAUUACGAAAAUAUACACAAAAGUCAAAUAGAAUGAGGCUCUGUGCACCCAUUGCCGCAGUAUUUGGGGAAACGCUCACUGUGCUGGGAAUACGCUGCCGAGCGAGGAUGUCCGCUGAGUGUGAAAUCUACACAAGGACGUGAAGCCGGGACCGUUUUUGACACAAAGUGUUUUAUUUUGAAAUUCCCAGCAGAGCUCUCGUCCUCAGUGCCUUGCUCAGGAGACGCCUGUGAGAAUUCAGACUGGAACGGGGGCAGACAGGCCUGUCGCCCCUCCCGCAAAUCCAUACCUGGGGACGCGCAGCCUGGCCCCCAGACCCCCGACCUGCGGGUCUAAAUGGACAGAAAACCUCACGGGUGUGGAUUUACAGUGUGGCCCCAAAUGGCCAAUGUCUCUCUCUGGUGGCGCCCAAACCAGACACCAGGAUGGAAGCUAGGAGACGAGAUCGCGCGUGACCGUGACCGGCGCUCCCACCCCGUGCCCCUUGCUAGGCCUGCAUUCACUGUUUACAGGCAAACCAAGUGUAUGUGGCGGCAUCGUUAAAAACCAUGUAAACAUUGCAAAGACGUCAGGGGUUACUUAGAAUCCGAAGAGAUAUAUAUAUAAAAAAACUACUGGGCUUGUGAAGACUACAAAUACCAGCCCUCCCUCCGCCCCUGAAAAAAGCAGUU
Long non-coding RNA from Myotis daubentonii (Daubenton's bat), 2577 nucleotides. RefSeq lists it as uncharacterized. Lineage: Eukaryota; Metazoa; Chordata; Mammalia; Chiroptera; Vespertilionidae. The transcript has 2 exons. The record is from RefSeq and is a predicted model, not a curated record.